GGAUUAGUGGCGAACGGGUGAGUAACACGUGAGCAACCUGCCCCUGACUCUGGGAUAAGCGCUGGAAACGGCGUCUAAUACUGGAUAUGUCCCAUCACCGCAUGGUGUGUGGGUGGAAAGAUUUUUCGGUUGGGGAUGGGCUCGCGGCCUAUCAGCUUGUUGGUGAGGUAAUGGCUCACCAAGGCGUCGACGGGUAGCCGGCCUGAGAGGGUGACCGGCCACACUGGGACUGAGACACGGCCCAGACUCCUACGGGAGGCAGCAGUGGGGAAUAUUGCACAAUGGGCGGAAGCCUGAUGCAGCAACGCCGCGUGAGGGAUGACGGCCUUCGGGUUGUAAACCUCUUUUAGCAGGGAAGAAGCGAAAGUGACGGUACCUGCAGAAAAAGCACCGGCUAACUACGUGCCAGCAGCCGCGGUAAUACGUAGGGUGCAAGCGUUAUCCGGAAUUAUUGGGCGUAAAGAGCUCGUAGGCGGUCUGUCGCGUCUGCUGUGAAAUUCCGAGGCUCAACCUCGGGCUUGCAGUGGGUACGGGCAGACUAGAGUGCGGUAGGGGAGAUUGGAAUUCCUGGUGUAGCGGUGGAAUGCGCAGAUAUCAGGAGGAACACCAAUGGCGAAGGCAGAUCUCUGGGCCGUAACUGACGCUGAGGAGCGAAAGGGUGGGGAGCAAACAGGCUUAGAUACCCUGGUAGUCCACCCCGUAAACGUUGGGAACUAGUUGUGGGGUCCUUUCCACGGAUUCCGUGACGCAGCUAACGCAUUAAGUUCCCCGCCUGGGGAGUACGGCCGCAAGGCUAAAACUCAAAGGAAUUGACGGGGACCCGCACAAGCGGCGGAGCAUGCGGAUUAAUUCGAUGCAACGCGAAGAACCUUACCAAGGCUUGACAUACACGAGAACGGGCCAGAAAUGGUCAACUCUUUGGACACUCGUGAACAGGUGGUGCAUGGUUGUCGUCAGCUCGUGUCGUGAGAUGUUGGGUUAAGUCCCGCAACGAGCGCAACCCUCGUUCUAUGUUGCCAGCACGUAAUGGUGGGAACUCAUGGGAUACUGCCGGGGUCAACUCGGAGGAAGGUGGGGAUGACGUCAAAUCAUCAUGCCCCUUAUGUCUUGGGCUUCACGCAUGCUACAAUGGCCGGUACAAUGGGCUGCAAUACCGUAAGGUGGAGCGAAUCCCAAAAAGCCGGUCCCAGUUCGGAUUGAGGUCUGCAACUCGACCUCAUGAAGUCGGAGUC
This 1232-nucleotide ribosomal RNA is filed under the name Microbacterium esteraromaticum. RNAcentral's name for it is "bacterial SSU rRNA". It matches the Rfam family "Bacterial small subunit ribosomal RNA", at positions 89 to 1333 of the family's 1533-position model. The record is from RNAcentral. Lineage: Bacteria; Bacillati; Actinomycetota; Actinomycetes; Micrococcales; Microbacteriaceae.